Molecule: ribosomal RNA, 251 nt
Filed under: uncultured Anaerococcus sp.
Lineage: Bacteria; Bacillati; Bacillota; Tissierellia; Tissierellales; Peptoniphilaceae
Description: partial 16S ribosomal RNA
Rfam family: Bacterial small subunit ribosomal RNA
Source: RNAcentral
UGGAUUAGUGGCGGACGGGUGAGUAACGCGUGAGUAACCUGCCUUGUACAAGGGGAUAGCCGUUGGAAACGACGAAUAAUACCCUAUGACAUGAUAUUAUCGCAUGAAAAUAUCAUCAAAGAUUUAUCGGUAUAAGAUGGACUCGCGUCUGAUUAGCUAGUUGGUAGAGUAAAAGCCUACCAAGGCAACGAUCAGUAGCCGGCUUGAGAGAGUGUACGGCCACAUUGGGACUGAGACACGGCCCAGACUCC